RNAcentral lists this ribosomal RNA (67 nucleotides) under uncultured Herpotrichiellaceae. RNAcentral describes it as "partial 5.8S ribosomal RNA". Lineage: Eukaryota; Fungi; Ascomycota; Eurotiomycetes; Chaetothyriales; Herpotrichiellaceae. The record is from RNAcentral.
CGCACUGCGCUACUUACUGCGACUUGCCGAAUUCAGUGAGUCAUCGCAUCUUUGAACGCACAUUGCG